RNAcentral lists this ribosomal RNA (253 nucleotides) under uncultured Nitrospira sp. RNAcentral's name for it is "partial 16S ribosomal RNA". It matches the Rfam family "Bacterial small subunit ribosomal RNA", at positions 524 to 776 of the family's 1533-position model. The record is from RNAcentral. Lineage: Bacteria; Pseudomonadati; Nitrospirota; Nitrospiria; Nitrospirales; Nitrospiraceae.
UACGAAGGUGGCAAGCGUUGUUCGGAUUCACUGGGCGUACAGGGUGUGUAGGCGGUUCGGUAAGCCCUCUGGGAAAGCUCCUGGCUCAACCGGGAAAGUUCAGGGGGGACUGCCGGGCUAGAGGACGGGAGAGGAGCGCGGAAUUCCCGGUGUAGCGGUGAAAUGCGUAGAUAUCGGGAGGAAGGCCGGUGGCGAAGGCGGCGCUCUGGAACGUACCUGACGCUGAGACACGAAAGCGUGGGGAGCAAACAGG